ACCCUACGGGAGGCAGCAGUGGGGAAUAUUGCACAAUGGGGGAAACCCUGAUGCAGCGACGCCGCGUGAGUGAAGAAGUAUCUCGGUACGUAAAGCUCUAUCAGCAGGGAAGAAAAUGACGGUACCUGACUAAGAAGCCCCGGCUAACUACGUGCCAGCAGCCGCGGUAAUACGUAGGAUGCGAGCGUUAUCCGGAUUUAUUGGGUUUAAAGGGUGCGCAGGCGGUCUGUUAAGUCAGCGGUCAAAGCCCGGGGCUCAACCCCGGCCCGCCGUUGAAACUGGCAGUCUCGAGUUGGAGAGAAGGA
This 305-nucleotide ribosomal RNA is filed under the name uncultured bacterium. RNAcentral's name for it is "bacterial SSU rRNA". It matches the Rfam family "Bacterial small subunit ribosomal RNA", at positions 335 to 659 of the family's 1533-position model. The record is from RNAcentral.